AAGAUGAAGGCCAUGAACCGCUUCUUCGAAGAAGGCGACAAGGUCAAGGUGACCCUGCGUUUCCGCGGUCGCGAAAUGGCGCAUAUGGAACUCGGCAUGAAGCUGCUCAUGCAGGUCAAGGAAGACACUGUCGAGAUCGCCAAGGUCGAAGCCGAGCCGAAGCUCGAAGGCCGCCAGAUGAUGAUGGUUCUCGCUCCUAAGUGAGCGCGACUGCCCGUCGAUCUGAAAAGAAGCCGUCCAUUGGGCGGCUUUUUUGUUGCCUGCUGGCUGGCACAAUCGGCGCAUUUCGGAUGUUAUGCAUGUGUGAGUGACCA
RNAcentral lists this unclassified non-coding RNA (314 nucleotides) under Ensifer adhaerens. RNAcentral describes it as "Long range pseudoknot". Lineage: Bacteria; Pseudomonadati; Pseudomonadota; Alphaproteobacteria; Hyphomicrobiales; Rhizobiaceae. The record is from RNAcentral.